AGAUGUUAAAAGCAAGAGACAUGGGAGAGCAUCAUUCCUUUGAGAUUUUAUAACUCAAACCAACUUUGGAGUUGUCUGAUUUGGAGAGUCAUUAUUCUUGGUCUUCGCUCUUAGAGGCCACUGAUGAAGAGCAGGCGGUGACUGGGAUGAAUCCUGGUCAGAGAGGAGAAUCUUCUUUCCCCUAAACAGCGGUGGUUUUAAAGGAGGACGCUGCCCUGGAUGAUGUAGAAGAUGUCACAUGCUGUGCAGAUGGGGUUUCUUCAUGACUACAUCAGUUAUGCUAAAGAGAUCAUGAAAAUUGACCGUGAUGCAUGAUCUGUAUUCAUGGACUAUGAAACAAACUGUAAGUGUAUAAUUUGUUAAGAAAAAAAAGUUAAAUGCUUUUUCUGUGUUGUUUAGUAGAAGAGUUUACACUCUGUCAUUCAUACACCUGCUCACAUUCUUUCACACACACACACACACACACACAUGCGUCUGUUAAAGGUUAUAAUAUCAAAGUUAAUGUUGUGAUUUAUUUGUGUACUGUCAUGCCAGAAUAGUUGGAAAAAAACCUAACUAAUUGUAAAUUUAUUGUAUGUGUUUUCGUAUAUUUUUAUACAAUAUAUACAAUUGAACAAAGUCCAAUUUGAUCUUAAGUUAUAUUCAUCAAAUGUUCAAUGCUUUAUUUAUGAACUCUGUAGCUGUUAAUGCCAUCCUUUUCUGCAUUUCUUCUAACAUGUUACUUUUUGACUUUUCUCUUGUUUUUAAUAAAUAUUUUCCUUUUGGUAAU
Long non-coding RNA from Carassius gibelio (silver crucian carp), 769 nucleotides. RefSeq lists it as uncharacterized. The transcript is spliced from 3 exons. The record is from RefSeq and is a predicted model, not a curated record. Lineage: Eukaryota; Metazoa; Chordata; Actinopteri; Cypriniformes; Cyprinidae.